This is a long non-coding RNA of Pan troglodytes (chimpanzee), 1875 nucleotides long. RefSeq lists it as uncharacterized. The record is from RefSeq and is a predicted model, not a curated record. NCBI's taxonomy places the organism in Eukaryota, Metazoa, Chordata, Mammalia, Primates, Hominidae. The transcript has 2 exons.
AAUUGUACUCAUUUUUUUCAUUUCACCUUCUUGUUUCCACAUUCCCUUUUUCUCAGAAAGUGAUGUUAAUAAGCCUUCUAUCACUGUCUAACUCACAGGGACCCACUGUUAACAUCCAAGAGAGGGCAGAACAAAGAAUAAGUUUGUUGCCAACCCUUGUGGUUAUUUCCACAGAGACUUAAUAAACCGCUCAAUAAAAGGCAAUUUAGAGAAAUAAAGAAGCUGUGUAAACAAAUGUCUUGUUGAUCAGUGAACAUUAAUGUAUCUUCUCAUUCAAUAAUUUGCUUUAGAAUCCACCUAAGAAAUACUGCACCCUAUCUUUUAAUGCUUAGGAUAUUUGAUUAUUUGACAAAAGAAACACAUAAUCUAUGCAUUGAUUAACAUAUUUCAUAUAUCUAAUUCAAAGCUUAUCACAAAAGCUCACCACCUCAGUUUCAAUAAUUUCUAUAAAUAAUCCACUAACAAAGUACUUACUGAAUGUAUUUAUUUAUGUGAUAGGCUGGAGAUACAACUAUGAAUAAGGCACACCAAACUCACAGCUCUCCUGUAGCUUAAAGUUUAGUGAAGGAGACUGGCAAUAAACAAAAUAAAAAAGUAGAUUUAUGGCAUUUUAGAAAGUGAUAUGGGAAAAAUAAAGCAGUGAAAGGGGAUAGGGUACUACAAUUUUAAAAGGGAAGGUGAGAAAACAUCUCACUGAGAAGAUGGAAUUUGAGAAAACAACACCUUUGUUCAAAGCUAAAGUGAGCCAUACCAACACCUGGAGAAGAACACUCCAGCAAGAGUUUAUCCAACAUCUCUUAUAUAUCUCUGAGAUCCCAAUGUGUCUUGUUCCUGCUCUGUGUGGGCUCUGAUUGAUUUCACUUCUUUUAUUCUGCCCCAGGGCUUCCCAUUGAUAGUACUAUAGACUCGUGAGCACUUAAACCCACACAUGUGCAAGUUGGAAGGGCAUGGAAGUGCAAGUUGGAAGUUUAUCCACGUAGAUAAACUUCAACCAAUGCAAGAGAAGAUCAUCUGGUUGAGCUCUUCUUCCUUUGUGUUCCCCAGGAACACUCAAGGUUGCUCAAGAGUGUAUGCCAGUGAACUGAGCAGCUAACUGCAGUAACUGGAAGCAGGCGCAAUAACGUGUCCUUGCCCUGGUUCUUCCUCCUUCCCUGCGUCAUUCUUCUUGCCCUUCUCACCUGUGCCCUGGGAUUGAACUCCCUGAAAACAUCACAUAAGCUCUAUGCCUCCAUUUCUGGGUAGCACAUGCUGAGGCACAAAUUGGAAAAGAAGUGCAAAAUCCUCAGAUGGAUAUGUUUUUGGCAUGCUAAAGAACAGCAAGAAGGCCACUGUAGUAAGAUCAAACAGAGCAAGGGGGAUGAUAUAAUAGAAUUUUGUCCAGAGGUAACGGAGGACCCAUCAUGUAGGGCCUUAUAGACCUUAACAGAACUUUGUCUUUGGUUCUAUUUGAGAUGAGAAGUUGUUGACAUCAUCUGCAUUAUGAUUUAACAGGAUGACUCUGGGCACUGUGUUAACAAGAGACUGAAGGGGACAAGAGUAGAAAUGGAUAACCAGUUUGGAGUCUACUGUAGCAAUUCUGGUAACAGAUGAUGACGUCGGCCAGUAACAGCAGAAGUGAAAAUAUGUGGUAGAUUAUGGGUAUAUUGUGAGGAUAAAGAUAUUUUGCCCUUUUGGAAACUGAAGAUAAAACAGAAAAAGAAAAGAAUUUUAAGAUAUGUUAAUCUAGCAAAACUAACAUAAGAAUGGCCACCGUGAAUUUCAUGAAAUUUUGCCACAGAGCAAUACUAAAAACUGAAUGAUUGUGCCUUUUUCCAUAUUUUAAUUAAAACUGAAAUGAAAAUACUCACUGUCGGAAAGUAAAGAAAUUAAGCCAUA